This 497-nucleotide ribosomal RNA is filed under the name uncultured bacterium. RNAcentral's name for it is "partial 16S ribosomal RNA". It matches the Rfam family "Bacterial small subunit ribosomal RNA", at positions 28 to 507 of the family's 1533-position model. The record is from RNAcentral.
GAUGAACGCUGGCGGCGUGCCUAAUACAUGCAAGUCGAGCGAACAGACGAGGAGCUUGCUCCUCUGACGUUAGCGGCGGACGGGUGAGUAACACGUGGAUAACCUACCUAUAAGACUGGGAUAACUUCGGGAAACCGGAGCUAAUACCGGAUAAUAUAUUGAACCGCAUGGUUCAAUAGUGAAAGACGGUUUUGCUGUCACUUAUAGAUGGAUCCGCGCCGCAUUAGCUAGUUGGUAAGGUAACGGCUUACCAAGGCAACGAUGCGUAGCCGACCUGAGAGGGUGAUCGGCCACACUGGAACUGAGACACGGUCCAGACUCCUACGGGAGGCAGCAGUAGGGAAUCUUCCGCAAUGGGCGAAAGCUUGACGGAGCAACGCCGCGUGAGUGAUGAAGGUCUUCGGAUCGUAAAACUCUGUUAUUAGGGAAGAACAAAUGUGUAAGUAACUAUGCACGUCUUGGCGGUACCUAAUCAGAAAGCCACGGCUAACUACGUG